UAAUUCCUUCCUAGGAGGAAGCUUCUAUUUUUACAAAGGUUUCUGCUAAGGGUAUUGGCACCUGGCGCCGCCUAGGCGACCGGAGCCCAAAUGCAAUGGCGGACGCGCAAGCGGUCCCUAGCGCAAUAAAUAAAAACUUCGCUUAAAAGGCUCGCAGCAGCGGACCAUAGCCUAACGCAAAAAGCUUUUGGUUUUUUGCAAUAAAA
Molecule: unclassified non-coding RNA, 206 nt
Filed under: uncultured fungus
Lineage: Eukaryota; Fungi
Description: sequence contains ITS2
Source: RNAcentral